This is a ribosomal RNA of 1631 nucleotides. It matches the Rfam family "Bacterial large subunit ribosomal RNA".
UACCUUAAAGCUAGCUUUACUGUUAUACAUAUUUUACCUACACUAACUUUUAAGAUUUUAUACAUUAAAAACUAAAACAUUUUUCCCCCCUAGUCUGGGAGACAAAAAAGGCACUUAAAGCGAUAUAAGAAGUACCGUAAGGGAAAGCUGAAAUAAAAAUGAAACAAAUAUAUAAGUUAAAAAAAGCAGAGCUUUAUGCUCGUACCUUUUGCAUCAUGGUUUAGUUAGUUUUCUUAAGCAAAAAGAUUUUUAGUUUAAUACCCCGAAACCUGGUGAGCUACUCCAAGCCAGUUUUAUUAGAACGAACCCGUCUCUGUUGCAAAAGAGUGGGAUGAGCUUUGAGUAGGGGUGAUAUUCCUAUCAAGCCAGGUUAUAGCUGGUUGCUUGAGAAAUGAAUUUAGUUCAGCCUUUUUUAUUCUCUUGCCUUAUUUCAUUAUUUUUUUAGGCUUUCAGAUUAAUAAAGAGUUAUUUAAAGGAGUUACAGCUCCUUUAAAAUAAAAUACAAUUUUCUUAGGUGAUUAUAUUUAUAAUAAAGAAGUUUUACUAGUAGGCUUAAGAGCAGCCACCUAUAAAAAGAUAGCGUUAUAGCUCAUAUUACAAAUACUCUUCAAAUUUCAAUAAAUUAUUUAUCCCUAAUUAUUAUCAAGCUUUUCUAUGUUAUAGAAGCAAUAAUGCUAAAAUGAGUAAUAAGAGAUCCGACUCUCUCUUAAAGUACCUUUACCUCGGAAUGGACCCGCCCCCGAAUAUUAACGGCUCUAACUGAAGCCCCUGUAAAACAAAAAAGAAACAAGAAAAUCUUACAUUUUUUGCCGUUUAGCCAACACUGGUGCUUUAAAUAAGAAAGGUUUAAAGAAGAAUAAGGAACUCGGCAAAUCUUAAGAGUUUCGCCUGUUUACCAAAAACAUCGCCUCUUGCAUAUACUAUAAGAGGUCUUACCUGCCCAGUGACGCAAGUUUAACGGCCGCGGUAUUUUGACCGUGCAAAGGUAGCGUAAUCAAUCGUCUUUUAAAUGGAGACCUGUAUGAAUGGUGAAACGAAAACUCAACUGUCUCAUUCUUUUAACCAAUGAAAUUGAUUUCUCCGUGCGGAAGCGGGGAUAAAUCCAUAAGACAAAAAGACCCUGUGGAGCUUUAGACUACCCAGCUUAGAGUUUAAUAACAUAUUUAUAAACACCUAAGUUCUGCUUACAUCUUAGAUUGGGGCGAUCACGGAGAAAGCACACCCUCCCUGAAGAAAUUCAUACGUUUUUAUAAUUAAGAGUUACCGCUCUAAAUAUUAAAAUAUUUGACUUUAUGAACCGGUUUGCCGAUUAACGGACCCAGUUACCCCAGGGAUAACAGCGCAAUCCCCUUAAAGAGCACUUAUCACCAAGGGGGUUUACGACCUCGAUGUUGGAUCAGGACAUCCUAAUGGCGCAUCCACUAUUAAGGGUUCGUUUGUUCAACGAUUAAAGUCCUACGUGAUCUGAGUUCAGACCGGAGUAAUCCAGGUCAGUUUCUAUCUAUGAAAUGUUUUCUCUCAGUACGAAAGGACCAGAGAAAAAAGGCCCAUUCUUUAAGAACGCCUUACCCUGAUUUUAUGAAAAAAUCUCAAAGAAGCGAGGGGGCCGACUUAUAAUAAAAAAAUAAUUU